CCUCCACCCCCUCCAUCGCCGGCAUGCAAACCUAAGGACGAUGAAUGUAAGGGAAAAGUGAUCAAACUGAACAAACAGAACCUGAGCAAACAGAUCAAUGACUUGUUGAAGAAGUUAUGCAAACCUAAUGGCAACGUAUGUAACAGAAAGAAUAAACUACUGAUCGAGGACUUAUUGAAGAAGGCAUGCAAACCUAAUAAUGAAGUCGUAUGUAAGAUAAAUUUUAUCAAACGUAUCAAUGACUUCUUGAAGAAGGCAAAAUCCCCUCCAUCGCCUUGAAGGUUUUCCAAAGCCAAAAACAAAUGAUUCCACAAAUUUCUUGAUGAAAAAAUAUUUUCACAAGUUGUCACCAUAAAU
RNAcentral lists this long non-coding RNA (357 nucleotides) under Brassica napus (rape). Its description in RNAcentral is "long non-coding RNA (BNAP_LNC002475)". Lineage: Eukaryota; Viridiplantae; Streptophyta; Magnoliopsida; Brassicales; Brassicaceae. The record is from RNAcentral.